GGAUCCAAGUCCGUUUCACUACUGGUUUGCAGAUGCUGCUGUAUCUACCGUGCUCUUCCCUUUUGUGGAGCCCAGGGCACCCCUCUCCCCACCUUCCCGUCCCCUCUUUGUCCUCCCCUUCCCAGUUUCUGUAAAGGGGCCGACCCUCAAGAACUCCAAGCUGAGCUCAGCUGCUGCCCCCCAUCACAGCCCCAGCAGCCUGCCCUCUGGAACCUGGGACCCCGGUCAGCCCCGGGCCACUUCCAGAAGGAAGAUGUGCCUGCGGCCCCCUCCCGUAGCCAGUUUGGGUGAUGGGGGCAGAGAGAAGUGUCUGGGGGGGCCCUCCACUGCUCUGGAUCAGAUAUCAGAAACCUCUCCCCUCCCUCCUCCCUUCCCUCUUUUCUCUGGAGGAGGCUAGCCCCGCCCUGCAGUGAUAUCACUGGGUCAAGGUAGGGGCGGGGAGGCUUCUACCUUCUAUUAAGUGUGAGAGUUUCUUUGUCUCUGGAGGAGGAUGUGAGUAGGAUGGGCAGCUAGACGUCUGCUUGCCCCUCAUCCACUUCCCUUCCCUUUCCCCUCCACGCCCGUCCCCUCCGUUACCCCCGUCUUCCAGACUGACGGAUCCUGAGGGUCCUACUAAUGCCUACGGUGUCUGUGAGUCAGGGAGCAAAAGCAGUCAACACAACUAAAAUACUAUACAGAGGAAAAGAUACUUGCAGAAGGAGACAGUCUCUCUGAGAACAUUCCAGUUACUACAGGCUUAAUCUCUGGGGAAGCACAUCUAGCCUCUGAACACUCAGUGGAUGAAAUACUGAUAUGUGGAGACACACAAGCUCUGAGAAGACUCAGAGGAAAAGAUACUUGUGGCAAGAGACAGUCUUUCUGAGAACAUUCCAGUUACUACAGGCUUACUCUCUGGGGAAGAACAUCUAGCCUCUGAACACUCAGCAGACAAGACAUUUGGGGCUGAAGACACACUCCCUGAGAACAUUCUACUUACUACAGACUUGCUUUCUGGGGAAAUAUGAAAGAGAAAUCAUAAGCAACUCAUUAAGGUUAAAUUGUGUGCUUUCAUAUAAGGGAAGAGGAUACACUUAUCUUCUAAGAACGUUAUCAUUAUUAGAGGAGGUAGAAGGAUUCUACAUAGAAGGUUUGAGAGUGAGCCACUUAGGUUGGCAUGAUGGAAAAUAAAUGGAUAGGCAAAUAUUAUGGAUGCCCUGGGAGAAGGCAGAAAAGAGAGAAAGAAUGAGGGACAUAAUCUCACAUAAAACGGGUGUGCAAAAAAGAGGUUUCACCUCGCAGUGGAAAAUGGUAGAGGCGGAGUAGCCAAUGCUCGAACUUCAGUCACAUCUAAAUUGGUUUAAUAGAGGAAAAUACCUUUAUCUAUAUUUAUGUCUGUCCCUAUAUAUACUUACUGAAUUGGUCAUAAAUAUCUAGCUUACCCGAGAGGUAAGUAAGAGAGUCUAAAAAAGAAAGAAAAAGUGGUGAUAAAAGGGUCGACUGAUAAAAUAAUGCAGUUGUCAUAUGCAAAACAGAAACUAGAGGAGAGACAGAAUAAAAAGAAAGAGAGAAGGAGAAAACGAAGAAGGUAGGAAGAAUGGAAAUGCAUAGUUAGUAAUCCUAACUCUGUGAAUUAGGUGAACUCACUCAUAAAAUGGAAUCAGGUAACAAAAUGGAUUAGAAACCAGUAUCCAAAAAUAUGUAUGUUUGUUCCUUUGUUUUUUGUUUUUUGGUUUUUUUACAAGAAACAUGCUUGAAACAAAGGAACUACAGAGUGAAAAAGGGGGUUGGAGAAGAAGCUGUUUACUUCAGAUGAAGUAAAAACAUGGAGGGGUAGCAAUCAUGAUCUCAGACAAAGCAAAAGCAAAAAUAUCCCUAUGAAAAGGAAUUAGCAGGGAAACUACCUCUUGUUCAAAGGAAUGACAGACAAUGAAGUAAUGUCAAAACUAAACGUAUUUCGGAAAUGGCAUAGGAUUCAAAUUCUUAACAGAAAAAUUAAGCAAAUAACAGGAAGAAACAGACAGGAAAACUGUAGUAGUGGGGCACCUCAGUUUUUUCCUCUGAGAGCUAGAUAAAGUGAAUCACAAAAUGAAUAAGAAAGAAGUUAAGAAGAGUAAGAGAAGUUUAGAAAACCUAGAUAUGAAAGACCUAUGGAGAAAACUGAAUGGAAAUACAAAGGAGUACAGACAGUUGGCGCUUUACAUAAGUUUGCAUUAUGCAAAUUGGACUUUAUGGAAGGAAUUCUAUAAGCUAGCUGAAUUCCAAGAAAGCACCUAUGUCAACUUUAUCAUACUGUACUGGGAUCUCUUUCUGCUCCUGCCCCUCAAGUUGGUGCUCUGUGGCCUCCUACCACACCAUCCCCCCAAAAAGGAAAAGCUAAAAAAUAUCCUCCAAGUGAAAGGAGAAGAACAGACCUGCAGAGAGAUGGCCACCACCACUGCCGGAUCAAGGCUUGGCUUGAGACCUCCAGUGCUGAGAGAGCAGACCUACAUUUUAGUCUGCCCACCCUCUUAAGAGUUUCAUUUCUGUGUUUUGGUAUUUUGUCCAUCCACAUUAAGGUAGUGCAUGUCUGUUCCUGGUGUGCACCACAUAUGACCUGUCCUCUCCUGAAUGUUUCCAUGUGCGGCCCUCAUGUAUCUGUCUUGCCAGCCUGUUCUCCCUUUCAGUUCCAGCCAGGUCCUUAUGUGGCUGGCCCCUGUGUCCAGCCCCCACGUGUCCUUGAAUCAUGUCCUGGCCCCUCCUCCAGGGAGGUGCAGUCCCCUUCCUAACUCCCUUCUGCCCUUUUCCACGUCCAUGGGGUAAUAAAUUCAUAUUACAUAAAGA
Molecule: long non-coding RNA, 2799 nt
Organism: Phascolarctos cinereus (koala)
Lineage: Eukaryota; Metazoa; Chordata; Mammalia; Diprotodontia; Phascolarctidae
Source: RefSeq, a predicted model, not a curated record